Molecule: small nuclear RNA, 180 nt
Organism: Oncorhynchus mykiss (rainbow trout)
Lineage: Eukaryota; Metazoa; Chordata; Actinopteri; Salmoniformes; Salmonidae
Gene: U2
Rfam family: U2 spliceosomal RNA
About the family: U2 is a small nuclear RNA (snRNA) component of the spliceosome (involved in pre-mRNA splicing).
Source: Ensembl
AUUAAUGGUUUGGUUUAAAUAAAAAAAUCUGUUCUUAUCAGUUUAAUAUCUGAUACGUCGCCCAUCGGGGGACUACAUAUUAAAUGGAUUUUUCGAACAGGGAGUCGGAAAUGGGGCUUGCUCCGUCCGCUCCACGCAUCGACCCGGUAUUGCAGUACCUCCGGGAACGGUGCAACACUU